AUCCAACUGACGAGUCCCAAAUAGGACGAGACAUGCGUCCUGGAU
Non-coding RNA from Schistosoma curassoni, 45 nucleotides. The record is from Rfam. Lineage: Eukaryota; Metazoa; Platyhelminthes; Trematoda; Strigeidida; Schistosomatidae.